This is a long non-coding RNA of Odocoileus virginianus texanus, 312 nucleotides long. RefSeq lists it as uncharacterized. NCBI's taxonomy places the organism in Eukaryota, Metazoa, Chordata, Mammalia, Artiodactyla, Cervidae. The record is from RefSeq and is a predicted model, not a curated record.
UCCAAAAUCUCCCUGGGCAACAAGAACUAGUUCUGGCUUGUUCUCUGUCUUCUCUGAGUGUGGUUUAAGUGAUACUGUGUCAGGACAGCCGUCAUCUCAGAUAAUUGACCACGAGAGGAAACUCAAGAUGGACAAAGAGGACAAUUGGAAUAUUAAUGAAGAGGUAAUACAUGUCAAAGAGAAAAUAAGAAAAUGGAUUUCAACUGUAUGACUGGGUUGAAAAGCAGCACUUGAUUAGCCGGCCAUCCUAGCAAUAUCUUGAGAGAAUGGAGCCGAAGAGAGAAUUGCCGAAGAGCUUUGGGUCACCAUAAA